CCAACCUUAGUGAAGAUAAAGCGGUACAGAAAAUGGAUGGAUGGAUGACUCAAAAGGACUCGAAACUCAAAGUGUAGGACUUGCGACUUGACUCGGGUCUUGAUUGUCUCGACUUGGGACUUGACUUUGGACUUGCCUAAAAAGAUUUGCCAAAACAGUGGGUGUCAGAAGUGGGACCGCAGGAUUGAUCGACGAUUCAGGGGACCCCGGGAGUGAUUGAUCAUCCAGGACCAACGCAGGAGUCCUGCCUCCACCCAAAGAAUUAAGGACGCGGGGGUGGGGGUGGCUGCCGGUGCUCUGGAUGUCGGUUAUCACCUCAGGAUCCAAACGGAGUUUUUGACCUCCAAACAAAGAAUUACAUGCUCCUUCAGUGCUCCCCGUCUUGCUGAUCUCUCCAACCACGCCAUCAAGCUCUUCCACCUGCUCACGCCGCCGCUUCCCCGCACGUUCCCUGUCUCGACGGUCCACCAUUGCACCUCAGAGGUCCAACACCGAAUCCAAUCUCAAUAAACCAUUCUCCACAAACUU
Molecule: long non-coding RNA, 528 nt
Organism: Phyllopteryx taeniolatus (common seadragon)
Lineage: Eukaryota; Metazoa; Chordata; Actinopteri; Syngnathiformes; Syngnathidae
Exons: 3
Source: RefSeq, a predicted model, not a curated record